GCGAUCCGGAGCCAACCCACAAAAAAAUACCAUCCCAGUUCGGAUUGCAGUCUGCAACUCGACUGCAUGAAGCUGGAAUCGCUAGUAAUCGCGGAUCAGAAUGCCGCGGUGAAUACGUUCCCGGGUCUUGUACACACCGCCCGUCACACCAUGGGAGUCGGAUAUGCCCGAAGUCAGUGACCCAACCGCAAGGAGGGAGCUGCCGAAGGUGGAGCCGAUGACUGGGGUGAAGUCGUAACAAGGUACC
Molecule: ribosomal RNA, 247 nt
Filed under: uncultured bacterium
Lineage: Bacteria
Description: partial 16S ribosomal RNA
Rfam family: Bacterial small subunit ribosomal RNA
Source: RNAcentral